Molecule: ribosomal RNA, 381 nt
Filed under: bacterium
Lineage: Bacteria
Description: bacterial SSU rRNA
Rfam family: Bacterial small subunit ribosomal RNA
Source: RNAcentral
AGUUAGCGGCGGACGGGUGAGUAACACGUAGGCAACCUGCCCUCAAGACUGGGAUAACUACCGGAAACGGUAGCUAAUACCGGAUAAUUUAUUACAUAGCAUUAUGUGAUAAUGAAAGACGGAGCAAUCUGUCACUUGGGGAUGGGCCUGCGGCGCAUUAGCUAGUUGGUGGGGUAACGGCCCACCAAGGCGACGAUGCGUAGCCGACCUGAGAGGGUGAACGGCCACACUGGGACUGAGACACGGCCCAGACUCCUACGGGAGGCAGCAGUAGGGAAUCUUCCGCAAUGGGCGAAAGCCUGACGGAGCAACGCCGCGUGAGUGAUGAAGGUUUUCGGAUCGUAAAGCUCUGUUGCCAAGGAAGAACGUCUCAUAGAGUAA